RNAcentral lists this ribosomal RNA (471 nucleotides) under uncultured bacterium. Its description in RNAcentral is "bacterial SSU rRNA". It matches the Rfam family "Bacterial small subunit ribosomal RNA", at positions 28 to 476 of the family's 1533-position model. The record is from RNAcentral.
GACGAACGCUGGCGGCGUGCUUAACACAUGCAAGUCGAACGAGACGAUUUAGAAGCUUGCUUUUAUUGAGUCGAGUGGCAAACGGGUGAGUAACGCGUAGACAACCUGCCGCAAAGAUGGGGACAACAGUCCGAAAGGACUGCUAAUACCGAAUGUUGUAUCUCCUCCGCAUGGAGAAGAUAUUAAAGAUGGCCUCUACUUGUAAGCUAUCGCUUUGCGAUGGGUCUGCGUCUGAUUAGCUAGUUGGUGGGGCAACGGCCUACCAAGGCGACGAUCAGUAGCCGGUCUGAGAGGAUGAACGGCCACAUUGGAACUGAGACACGGUCCAGACUCCUACGGGAGGCAGCAGUGGGGAAUCUUCCGCAACUAGGGCGAAAGCCUGACGGAGCAACGCCGCGUGAGUGAAGAAGGUCUUCGGAUCGUAAAGCUCUGUUGUCGGGGACGAAUGUUGAGAUCUAGAAUAUAGAUUUC